Molecule: unclassified non-coding RNA, 445 nt
Filed under: Hevea brasiliensis (rubber tree)
Lineage: Eukaryota; Viridiplantae; Streptophyta; Magnoliopsida; Malpighiales; Euphorbiaceae
Source: RNAcentral
AUAAUAAUAAUAAUAAUAAUGAAGAGGAGAACUCAUGGGAGAGAGAGAAAUGUAAAGCGGAUAUAUUGAAUCAUCCUUUAUACGAUCAGCUACUGUCGGCACACGUUUCAUGCCUGAGAAUUGCGACGCCGGUGGAUCAAUUACCGAGGAUUGACGCUCAGCUAGCUCAAUCGCAAAACGUGGUAGCCAAAUACUCUGUACUUGGACAAGGUCAACCGCCUCUAGAUGAUAAAGACCUCGAUCAAUUUAUGACACAUUAUGUUCUGUUGCUCUCUUCCUUUAAAGAACAACUGCAACAACAUGUCCGCGUCCAUGCAAUGGAAGCUGUCAUGGCUUGCUGGGAGCUAGAACAAUCUCUACAAAGCUUAACAGGGGUAGCACCAGGUGAAGGUACAGGAGCAACCAUGUCUGAUGAUGAUGAUGACACAAACUUUUUGGAUGGAGG